CCUACGGGUGGCAGCAGUGGGGAAUAUUGCACAAUGGGGGAAACCCUGAUGCAGCGACGCCGCGUGAGUGAAGAAGUAAUUCGUUAUGUAAAGCUCUAUCAGCAGGGAAGAAAAUGACGGUACCUGAGUAAGAAGCCCCGGCUAACUACGUGCCAGCAGCCGCGGUAAUACGUAGGGGGCAAGCGUUAUCCGGAUUUACUGGGGGGAAAGGGAGCGUAGACGGCAGUGCAAGGAUGGAGUGAAAGGCGAGGGCUCAACCCCCGGACUGCUCUGGAAACUGUACGGCUGGAGUGCAGGAGAGGUAAGGGGAAUUCCUAGUGUAGCGGUGAAAUGCGUAGAUAUUAGGAGGAACACCAGUGGCGAAGGCGGCUUACUGGACUGUAACUGACGUUGAGGCUCGAAAGCGUGGGGAGCAAACAGGAUUAGAUACCCGUGUAGUC
This 440-nucleotide ribosomal RNA is filed under the name uncultured bacterium. RNAcentral's name for it is "partial 16S ribosomal RNA". It matches the Rfam family "Bacterial small subunit ribosomal RNA", at positions 338 to 795 of the family's 1533-position model. The record is from RNAcentral.